GAUCACCCCGACGCGGGUGGCGAGGGUCCCGCCGAGCGCCAGGUCUAAGAGACACUUUUUCCCGAGUCCACUGACGGCUUCUGAACCCCUGCUCCGGCCGGUCCGCACCGUUCCGGCAUUCUCUUGCUCAGUAACAAUUUCGCAGAAUCCCAUCACGUCACAAACCAAACCCCCUCCAAUUGGCCAGUGGGGAGGGUGAUUCAACUCUGUUUACUUUCUCCCCCUGCCAGUCAGAACGGCCUUCGGUGGAGAGGUGCGUCUAGAACUGAGGCGUGCGGCCAAUCCGACUGUUCCGUUUCGCUGCCUCGUGCUACCCCUACAGCCUCGAACACUGACAUUUAAAAGGGUAACAGCUGGGAGGCAGGGAAGGGGCAGCCGCACACUUUCGGAGUGCCUCGCGGUCCCGUGGCCGGUCCGGGCCUCCUGGCUCACGUUCCAGCUUGCGGAGCUUUGGGACACAUCUUUCCUAGUCAGUUGCGCUCGUUCCUAUGGCAAAAGAGAACUUCAGCUUCGGUUUUCCAGCUCCCAAACAGUUAAGUGACUUCCUGCAAACGCUACAGUCCCAGCAACCAGCCUUCCAAUCAAAAUGAAUAAACCAGCAGACCAAUUCAGAGCCCAUUUCAGUGGUGCAGGUGAGAGGUGUUAGAGACCUGGACAAGGUGGUGGCAGAUGAAGAUGGAGAGAAGAGAGAUAGGAUCUCGCUAUGUUGCCCAGGCUGACCUCCUGCCUCAUGCAUCCCUCACCAAGCUUAACAGGUACAUCACCCAUAAACGAAAAGAAUCUUCCUAAAACACCUGGAACCAAUUCCUGGAGUAAUCUCAGCUUGGCAGAGUUUUUCACCUUCUCCUCUUUUUCCUGCCUGGAACAUGAAUGUGAUGACUGGAGGUGAGGCAUCUAUUUUGUGACCAUGAAACAAGAAAGCACAAAAGGAAUAGCUGAGCCUAAAAAAUAGAAGGAAUCUGGAUCUUUGACUUCAAUGAGCCAUUGUUGAGCUCUGGGCUCUUCAUUUUUUGUUAAGUGAGAAAAAUAAAGCCUUAUUUAUUUGCAUUAUUGUUAGCCUGGUUUCUGUUAAUAGAAGGUAAAUGGAUUCAUAACUGAUAUAGCAGUAGAAAGAGCCCAGUGGAAAAUUGAACCUUUAAGUAGUUUAUGAAUCAGGGUUAUGGGGAGAGAACUGCUUUGCCAGUUCUUAAAUGGGACAAGUCAUUCUUCUAAUCCCAUGCCCUCGAGAUGUGAUAGGGAUUGUCCCAAAUAUUUGGAGCCCUGGAUUUUGGACCCUCAGGGAUUUAGUUUGCUGAGGUGGCUCUUGCUUGCUUUGGGACAUUAGCCUGAAUUUGCCUGGGGCAUGGAAAGUAUGAAUGUAAAAGCAGGUGAGAGAAAAGAAAAUACCAGAAAUUAGACUGCUCUUGUCAAAUAUGGGAGGCUUCCUGAGGUGAGGAAGACCUGUAUCACAGGGAACACUUGAGAUUCACUCAUGAAAUUACACAGAGCAUUAGUCUCGAGGGAGGGGAAAGAAAAGAGGCAGUUUAGAGAGGCCCUCAAAGCACAGAUGAUUGCUAUUGCUGCUAUGCUAUUGCUAUAUUUGAGACUCAAAGGAGUAUAUUUAACACUUAUUCUGCUGGCACUUCAUUUAACUUCUUUGGCUAUAUGUAACGCCUUUUUAACAAAAAUAAAAUACUAUUUUUUAAAACUCCAUUAACACGUCAAAUUUUAACAAUAAAAAUUAAAUUGUACAUUUCAGUGUUUUGUCUGAGCCUCUGCCAGAACUUGGCAGUGCCCUGGGUUCUUUUAAUUAAGGCUACAGAUGGAUAGUGAAAAGUUCAGUUUCCCCGACUGAUUCAUACAAUGCAGGGCCCUUGUCUCUGACCUUCACCCUUUUCCACCCAGCCACAGCACUAAAAUCUUUCUUCUCUGAGAAAGCAGACAUGGCUGUUCCUCCCUUCUGAGCAUCCAGUAACCUGGCAAUGCUUUCGUUGCUACCAUUGGUGAUAACGACAAGAAAACCCUGAACAGCAACUGCAUGGAGCUGGCUCCCAUCUAGCCCAAUGUCUGGCUUAUUCAGGUUCUCUGGCCUUCUUUGAGGGGGUGGGCACUGGAAAGGAAAUGGAUCUCUGGACCAUCCUACUUCCUGCAUUGUAUUUACAAACACCACCUUCCUAAGCUCUCUGGAUAAGUGAGGUUCCUCUUCUACCACAAAUGACUCAUGCUGUAUUGUAAAUUAUUUUGGGACUCUGAGCUAGCCCUCAGCAUGUUAUCCACUGCAGGCUAUCAUUCAUUAGAGCAUCCCGCUGCCCCUGAUUUUGUAUCCCAUGCUCCUCCACAUUGGCUAGAGUUCCUGAGUCGAGAAGCUUAGGGUUUAUUUCAUAGGUCAUCCACCCCGACCCCUCCAACUUUUCUCUUUGCUUAAAUUUGUGUUUCAGAUGGAAGCAGUGAAUUCUGGAAUUCCCAGGUCUCUCUAAUGUAAAUGUCUAGAAAGAAGUUGGGCAUUGCAAGGUCAGGGAGGGUGUUAAGAGCUUCAGAUUUAGAGAAGCUGUUGACCAAAUCGUUUUGGUUUCAAACCUUAGAUAUACUGGUGACCACACAGAGGGAAGUAGACUCCUGGGCUAUAAUCCCAGAGGCUCUUGUUCAGUAGAUUUGAUGUAGGUGGCCUGUUUGACACACUUUGAGAAACCAUAGGAGCUUGCUGGUAUGGGAUUGGAUUCCCAGUGGUUCUUAAUGGAGCGUGGUACCCAAAGGGUAUUUAGGAAUCUGUGGGAGUCACCAGUAUUUAAUGUGUGGAGGCUGGAUAUGCCAAACCUCCUGCAGUGUGUGGCACAAUCCUACACAACAAGGAAUUGUUCUGCCUCAAUGCUAAUAGAACCUCCUUUUAGAAACACUGGGCUGGAAGGUGGAUGGUGAAGGGUCUUCUGUUUUGUCCUCCGAGUAACAGAAAGCUGGGCUGGUCUUCUCAUGAGGCAAUCUAGGCACAACCCCUAAGGUUUAGGAAAAUGUUUAAGAUCAGAAAAAAUUAUAGGUCCAGAAGUUAUUGCUUAAAUUAUAUAUAAUGUAGCCUUGGGUGGCAUAUUAAUAUCAUUGAUGUAUUUUGGGUUGAGAUCUCUGGAAAGCAAGAAACUUAGAACUUAUGAAGGUUCUAAAAUAGCCCUGCUGGAGACUGAUUGUAUCUCUCUAAGAAAGACAUGAGGCUAAGAGUGCUCAAUUUCAGCCUCUACCAUCUUCUUUCUGACAUUAUUUCUCAUUCAAGUCAACUCCCUCAUCCCCCAAUGCUCUCCAAGCCUUCAGAGCUGUCUGCAGCCUGCAAGAGGUAGGAGGAACUAGGUGGGCAUGCGAUUCUGCGUGAUUGCCUAUAGGAAGUGGUAGGGAUUUCUGAUUUGUGGCAGCUCGGCUGU
This 3383-nucleotide long non-coding RNA is filed under the name Homo sapiens (human). RNAcentral's name for it is "HSALNT0352695". The record is from RNAcentral. Lineage: Eukaryota; Metazoa; Chordata; Mammalia; Primates; Hominidae.